Molecule: ribosomal RNA, 285 nt
Filed under: Mycoplasma amphoriforme
Lineage: Bacteria; Bacillati; Mycoplasmatota; Mollicutes; Mycoplasmatales; Mycoplasmataceae
Description: partial 16S ribosomal RNA
Rfam family: Bacterial small subunit ribosomal RNA
Source: RNAcentral
AGUAACGACUAACUAUGUGCCAGCAGUCGCGGUAAUACAUAGGUUGCAAGCGUUAUCCGGAUUUAUUGGGCGUAAAACAAGCGCAGGCGGAUUAGAAAGUCUGGUGUUAAAAUCAACUGCUUAACGGUUGAAUGCAUUGGAAACUUCUAGUCUAGAGUGUGGUAGAGAGUUCUGGAACUCCAUGUGGAGCGGUGGAAUGCGUAGAUAUAUGGAAGAACACCAGUUGCGAAGGCGAGAACUUUGGCCAUUACUGACGCUUAGGCUUGAAAGUGUGGGGAGCAAAUA